RNAcentral lists this ribosomal RNA (501 nucleotides) under uncultured bacterium. RNAcentral describes it as "partial 16S ribosomal RNA". It matches the Rfam family "Bacterial small subunit ribosomal RNA", at positions 30 to 523 of the family's 1533-position model. The record is from RNAcentral.
AUUGAACGCUGGCGGCAGGCUUAACACAUGCAAGUCGAGCGGGGGAAGGUAGCUUGCUACCGGACCUAGCGGCGGACGGGUGAGUAAUGCUUAGGAAUCUGCCUAUUAGUGGGGGACAACAUCUCGAAAGGGAUGCUAAUGCCGCAUACGUCCUACGGGAGAAAGCAGGGGAUCUUCGGACCUUGCGCUAAUAGAUGAGCCUAAGUCGGAUUAGCUAGUUGGUGGGGUAAAGGCCUACCAAGGCGACGAUCUGUAGCGGGUCUGAGAGGAUGAUCCGCCACACUGGGACUGAGACACGGCCCAGACUCCUACGGGAGGCAGCAGUGGGGAAUAUUGGACAAUGGGCGGAAGUCUGAUCCAGCCAUGCCGCGUGUGUGAAGAAGGCCUUAUGGUUGUAAAGCACUUUAAGCGAGGAGGAGGCUACUUUAGUUAAUACCUAGAGAUAGUGGACGUUACUCGCAGAAUAAGCACCGGCUAACUCUGUGCCAGCCGCCGCGGUAA